Long non-coding RNA from Homo sapiens (human), 677 nucleotides. Ensembl annotates it as long intergenic non-protein coding RNA 1128. Lineage: Eukaryota; Metazoa; Chordata; Mammalia; Primates; Hominidae. The record is from Ensembl.
AAUUCACUGGGUCACAGUGUGAUAGUGUGAAGAUGGGAGGACGUUAAGGGAAGGCUAUGGGUGAGUUGGGAAAUGUGUUAGGCAGGGUCAGAGAUUACCACAUCCUAAAAACAACACUUAAGGAGGGAGAUGACAAAACAAUCAAUGAAUAACAUGACUUUUUCCAGUGAAAGUGCCAUAUCUAAUCCUUUUCCAUUUUUGUUCUCUGAGCUUCUUUCUUAGGGAAGAUCCUUCUUGAGAAGCCCCUGCUGAGUAUUAGGAAAAUGCAUUUCAGGACCUCUCAUCAACACAUCCUCUUUCUUUACCACAACCACAUAUAUGGGGGCAUAACUCAACAUGUGUAAAAGACAAUCUUCUGCUUUUCACUGAACCUCCAGGAAUUCAGGACAAUAAACGUCUACAUGGAGACCAACAGUUUCCAUCAUUAUCUUCUAUGGAGUUCUUCAUUCCCACAUCUGUGGACCUUAAAAUCCUACCGUUGAGUGCCUGCCUUGGAUCAGCAGUCAGUUCGUUACCUUGGUUCUCAGACGAUGCUUGCAACAACGCCAUGCGAUUCGCCCACUCUUGGAGAAAAUAAGAGAAGUAUCCCUGAAGGAUGAAAUAUCCUCGAAUAUGAAAAGGUCUGCUCUCUGAAGACCAACUGUCUCAGUCUGCUUUUUGCUGCUGUAACAGAAUAC